Molecule: ribosomal RNA, 253 nt
Filed under: uncultured bacterium
Lineage: Bacteria
Description: partial 16S ribosomal RNA
Rfam family: Bacterial small subunit ribosomal RNA
Source: RNAcentral
AACGUAGGACACGAGCGUUAUCCGGAGUUACUGGGCGUAAAGGGCUCGUAGGCGGCCAACUAAGUCGGAUGUGAAAUCCCCAGGCUCAACCUGGGAACUGCAUCCGAUACUGGAUGGCUUGAAUUCGGGAGAGGGAUGCAGAAUUCCAGGUGUAGCGGUGAAAUGCGUAGAUAUCUGGAGGAAUACCGGUGGCGAAGGCGGCAUCCUGGACCGACAUUGACGCUGAGGAGCGAAAGCCAGGGGAGCAAACGGG